AUCUAUUGGCACCUGCCUCUUUGCAAAUUAGCCUUUAUAUAAUAUUGGGCCGGCUCUAGCCGGUUUUCCCCAUGUGCAAUAGCUCCGGUGUGCGGUGGAUUUUUAUGCUUUCCUAUGAACCAACGAUCACUACCAAGAGUGGGAUGCUGAGCGUCUGAUCUGGGAUGACACAUCUUCUUCAUGUGGCUGUGACUGCAUCAUACAGACAUGGGCCUCAGAAGGCAUUGACCCUAGUGUCUUAGGCACCCAAGGAGAACACUUUGAGCAGUAAGAGGUUGUUGAAAUUGCUUGCACCAACAACAGAGGGAGACUUACUCCCUCUCUUAGCCAGUGUCCUAGAAUCAUAGAAAAAUCAGGUUGAAUGCGAUCUCAAGCUGUCAUUAAGUCUAGCUCCCUUGUGCCGAGGCAGGAGGAAGUAAACCGAGAUCAUCCUUCACAGCCGUUUGUCCAACCUGUUCUUCAAAACCUCCAGUGACGGGGAUUCCACAGUCUUCUUGGGAAGCUGACCCAACCUUUACCGACCCUGGUCGUUAGAAAGCCUUUCCUAACCUCUAACUGAAAUCCCCCUUAUUGCAGAGUAAGACUGUUAUUUCCUGUGGAUGUGGAGAACAAUGGAUCCCCGUCAUGGCGAUGGCAGAGGUUGACAUGUUUCAGGACUACUGCCAUGCUUGCUUCAGUCUUCCUGUCUCAGGCCUAACCGGGGCCAGUUUUGUUAACGCUUUCUCUCAGUUUCUGGGGGAGUAAGAAAAGUGUGUUGAAAUGUUCUGCUUUGGGGGAGGUUUGGGAUAAACAUUUCCCAGUGAGCUCUGCCACAUGUAUGCCGAGCCAGCGCUGCAACCCCCCUGGAAGACAGCUGCGACCCCCGUGGGGGGACACAACCCACGGGUUGUGCACUGCUGCUCCAGGUUAGGAAUCCUGUCAGAGAAAAAAUCCGGCUGGUUGGGCAGUCCCCGCUGGCUUUUCCUUAGACCUGUGAUCCUGUGUGUAGAGUUAAGGCUUAGAAAAGGUGCAGGCUGAGAGAGUCUGUCCAGGUUGGUAUUGCAGAGGGUGAACUUGGCAGAAGCAUAAAUAGCAGCUGGGCACACAACUGAAAAAUCCUUCCUCCCCACCAUGGUCUUUUGGCUGCAGUCCUUGCUCAGUGGGUGCACAGGAAAAAAUCUCUUUCUGGUGUCAGUGAGUUUGACCUGAAACAGCGGCUGAGAACACAUGGGGAGGGUCCGCAGCGAUGCUCAUUAGCAGCCAGCCGCAGGGCUGUGGGCUGUAGACCAGCCACAGAUAGACUGAGGCUAGCAGGAGCAGUUUAAUGGGUGUGUUUUCCUUUUGCAGCUCACGCGCUGUUCUGCUUCAGCUGUGAGGAUUCCGCCUCCAACUGGGGCUGUCUGAGCCCAGUCGCGUGUCCAAGUGAGGCAAACUACUGUGUGACCACAUAUGUGGGGGCAACAAUUGGUGGACAAUCGGGUCAGAGCAUCUCCAAAGGGUGCGCUCCCGUUUGCCCCAGCGCUGGGAUAAACCUCGGGGUACUGGCUGCUUCGAUUUCCUGCUGCAGUUCUUUCUUGUGCAACAUCAGUGGGGCCAGCAGCGUGAAAGUCAGCUACAUGGUGCUGGCCACAGCCCUCUUGGCCCUCUUCGUCUCUCUCCGGGCCGGACUGUGAUGGGACCAGGAAAAAUUAAUUUGAUGCCCUGAAGAACUUUCUCCAGCGAGACACCAAACCCCCCUCUGUGCAGAGCUGUCCUGGGGUUACCGAUGGUGCCACUUCUUGCAAACUCUGUCUCAGUUAUGAUUAGACAAGACCUCCCCUGCUGCUGCCGGGGUGCCUCUCGGCAAAUCUGUAUUGUUUUCUCCCGUGUGUUGGGUGCGGGAGGCGCAGCUGAAGAGCACUGCCCCCCUCGGGACGUGCCUUCUUGUACCCUCGGCCUGUCAGGAAAGGGGGGAUAAUGUUGCCUGGGUUUCUGCUUUUAUACCCCUAGUCCCAGUUGAUGAGGUUGAGUUUUUAAAAAAAAAAAAAAAAGGAUCCAAGCUCACCGGGAAAUGUUUCUCCCAAACCACCCCCAAAGCAGAACAUUUCAACUCACCUUUCUUACUCCCGCAGAGACAUUGCCUAUACACGUCCUGCUCGGGAUCAGCACCAGACUGAGUGCUGGGAAGCCAAAAUAUAUUCCCACUCUCCCAGCUAGAGUUUGGUUUGUUUACACUGUUUCCCUUCUCCUGCGCCUUGGUUGACUUUUCUGAUGUACAGUGACUGCAGUGCACGCCCUGUGGUGAUUGAGCAUCACACUGAAUAAACACAUUCCUGUUCUUGCUUGGG
Molecule: non-coding RNA, 2306 nt
Organism: Pelodiscus sinensis (Chinese soft-shelled turtle)
Lineage: Eukaryota; Metazoa; Chordata; Testudines; Trionychidae
Source: RefSeq, a predicted model, not a curated record